UCCUGUCUCAGUGAGCUGUUAUGUGUACACCUGCAGGCUUCUGUAGUUUUGCCCUGUUUUAAAAUGGCACCUGCCCUCUCUCAGCUGGAUCACAGUUUCUGUUUUGGAGUGAUUCGUUGGAAUUGGACAACCCUCUACACUUCCACUAGGACCACUGACAACUGCCAGCAACUACCAGGACCCUGGACUCCAGUCUGGACACACACCAUAUUCUCUCUCUGCUCUAACCUCAUGGCCUAUAAGGUUUCUGAUUCGAAAUCAACUGUCCAUCUAAUUGGAGAUCCUCUGAAGGCAAUAUGGCAUUUCUCUCAGAUCUUGCUGCUGCUGAGUGUGGGCACCAGAAGAUCAUGGAAAAACUCCACCUUGAGACUCCGACCAACACUGCUUGGCACCCAGUGCUUACCUCAUCAAUGAACAUGUACUCCCAUUUUGCCACUACUCAAGCUCUAUGGAGAAGUUCCACAGCCACCAUAGCCUUCAGAAUGAAAUUAGAAAUGCUAAGGGGCCACUGUCAUCACCAAGCCAAAGAAUAAAGAACCUAUUACAUUUUGUCUUUUGGAUAACAGCCAUUCUGACAGGGGGUAAGUGGUAUCUCAUUAUGGUUUCAAUUUGCAUUUCCCUGAUGGGUAGUGACUUGUGCAUUUUUUCAUAUAUUUCUUGGCCAUUCUUUUUCUUUUGAGAACUGUAUGUUGAGGUCCUUUGCUCUUUACUUCCUUGGAUUUAAAAAAAAAUGAUUUAUUUUUUUGAAAGAGUCAUAGAGUGAGAGACAGAAGAGAGACAGAGACAGAGAGAGAUCUUCCAUCUGCUAAUUCACUCCCCACAUGGCUACAGUGGAUGG
Molecule: non-coding RNA, 838 nt
Organism: Oryctolagus cuniculus (rabbit)
Lineage: Eukaryota; Metazoa; Chordata; Mammalia; Lagomorpha; Leporidae
Source: RefSeq, a predicted model, not a curated record